GUGUGGGUGUGGUUGAAAGGGGCAGACAGAAAGAAGAGCCGCUUCCGCUUGCUGCUUGGGAUCGGCGCGCUCCUUGCGGUUCUAGGGGUUCCGGCCGCUGCUACCGCCGCCAAGCCACGCGCCGCUCCUCCGAGCCGCCGAGAGACGAGGUCGCUUGCGUCCGCCGCCAGCGCCUCCUCCCUGCGGACGAGCACGGUUCGUCCGAGUACGCGAGGGCGGUCGAGAGGUGGUUCCAGAGGCCGCUCGCUAGCGUCCACCGCCUCGCUGUGGAGGAGCUCGGUCCGUCGGAGUACGCGAGGGCGGUCGAGAGACCGCUCGUACGAGCGUUGUAGGUCUUCUUUCUCCUACUGACGACCCGCCCCAAGUUACUCUGCGAUUUCUCCAACCUGCUCGAAGUUUUUUUCUUCUUUGGUUCACAGAAAGUCGUC
Molecule: ribosomal RNA, 428 nt
Filed under: Triticum aestivum (bread wheat)
Lineage: Eukaryota; Viridiplantae; Streptophyta; Magnoliopsida; Poales; Poaceae
Description: partial small subunit ribosomal RNA
Source: RNAcentral